GAUGAAGAACGUAGCGAAAUGCGAUACGUAAUGUGAAUUGCAGAAUUCAGUGAAUCAUCGAGUCUUUGAACGCACAUUGCGCCCCCUGGUAUUCCGGGGGGCAUGCCUGUCCGAGCGUCAUUGCUGCCCUCAAGCCCGGCUUGUGUGUUGGGCCCCGUCCUCCGAUCCCGGGGGACGGGCCCGAAAGGCAGCGGCGGCACCGCGUCCGGUCCUCGAGCGUAUGGGGCUUUGUCACCCGCUCUGUAGGCCCGGCCGGCGCUUGCCGAUCAACCCAAAUUUUUAUCCAGGUUGACCUCGGAUCAGGUAGGGAUACCCGCUGAACUUAAGCAUAUCAAUAAGCGGAGGA
RNAcentral lists this unclassified non-coding RNA (346 nucleotides) under soil metagenome. RNAcentral describes it as "partial contains 5.8S ribosomal RNA, internal transcribed spacer 2, and large subunit ribosomal RNA". The stretch from base 1 to 120 matches the Rfam family "5.8S ribosomal RNA", at positions 35 to 154 of the family's 154-position model. The record is from RNAcentral.